This 524-nucleotide ribosomal RNA is filed under the name uncultured Pseudomonadota bacterium. RNAcentral's name for it is "bacterial SSU rRNA". It matches the Rfam family "Bacterial small subunit ribosomal RNA", at positions 527 to 1050 of the family's 1533-position model. Lineage: Bacteria; Pseudomonadati; Pseudomonadota. The record is from RNAcentral.
GGAGGGGGUUAGCGUUGUUCGGAAUUACUGGGCGUAAAGCGCGCGUAGGCGGACUAUUAAGUUAGAGGUGAAAUCCCAGGGCUCAACCCUGGAACUGCCUUUAAUACUGGUAGUCUUGAGUUCGAGAGAGGUGAGUGGAAUUCCAAGUGUAGAGGUGAAAUUCGUAGAUAUUUGGAGGAACACCAGUGGCGAAGGCGGCUCACUGGCUCGAUACUGACGCUGAGGUGCGAAAGUGUGGGGAGCAAACAGGAUUAGAUACCCUGGUAGUCCACGCCGUAAACGAUGAGAACUAGCCGUUGGGGCCUUUAAGGCUUUGGUGGCGCAGCUAACGCGAUAAGUUCUCCGCCUGGGGAGUACGGCCGCAAGGUUAAAACUCAAAUGAAUUGACGGGGGCCCGCACAAGCGGUGGAGCAUGUUGUUUAAUUCGAUGCAACGCGAAGAACCUUACCACCCCUUGACAUACUCGGAACUUUCUAGAGAUAGAUUGCUGCCUUCGGGAACCGAGAUACAGGUGCUGCAUGGCU